GAUGAACGCUGGCGGCAUGCCUUACACAUGCAAGUCGAACGGCAGCACGGGAACAAUCCUGGUGGCGAGUGGCGAACGGGUGAGUAAUACAUCGGAACGUGCCCAAUCGUGGGGGAUAACGUAGCGAAAGCUACGCUAAUACCGCAUACGAUCUACGGAUGAAAGCGGGGGAUCGCAAGACCUCGCGCGAAUGGAGCGGCCGAUGGCAGAUUAGGUAGUUGGUGAGGUAAAGGCUCACCAAGCCUGCGAUCUGUAGCUGGUCUGAGAGGACGACCAGCCACACUGGGCCUGAGACACGGCCCAGACUCCUACAGGAGGCAGCAGGGGGGAAUUUUGGACAAUGGGCGCAAGCCUGAUCCAGCAAUGCCGCGUGCAGGAUGAAGGCCUUCGGGUUGCAAAGCUCUUUCGCAAGGGAAGAAAACUUAGCCACUAACAUUGGUUGAGGUUGACGGUACCUUGAUAAGAAGCACCGGCUAACUACGUGCCAGCAGCCGCAGUAA
RNAcentral lists this ribosomal RNA (500 nucleotides) under uncultured bacterium. RNAcentral describes it as "partial 16S ribosomal RNA". It matches the Rfam family "Bacterial small subunit ribosomal RNA", at positions 28 to 523 of the family's 1533-position model. The record is from RNAcentral.